Molecule: ribosomal RNA, 252 nt
Filed under: uncultured bacterium
Lineage: Bacteria
Description: partial 16S ribosomal RNA
Rfam family: Bacterial small subunit ribosomal RNA
Source: RNAcentral
UACGAAGGGGGCUAGCGUUGUUCGGAAUUACUGGGCGUAAAGCGCGCGCAGGCGGCCAUUCAAGUCAGGGGUGAAAGCCAGAGCUCAACUCUGGAACUGCCCUUGAAACUGUAUGGCUUGAGUAUGAGAGAGGUGAGUGGAAUUCCCAGUGUAGAGGUGAAAUUCGUAGAUAUUGGGAAGAACACCGGUGGCGAAGGCGGCUCACUGGCUCAUUACUGACGCUCAGGCGCGACAGCGUGGGGAUCAAACAGG